Molecule: transfer RNA, 66 nt
Filed under: Nesophrosyne sp. 48 GMB-2012
Lineage: Eukaryota; Metazoa; Arthropoda; Insecta; Hemiptera; Cicadellidae
Description: tRNA-Phe
Source: RNAcentral
GUUUAUAUAGCUUAAUUUAAAAGAGUAUAUCAGUGAAGUUGAUAGGGAAGCUAAUGCUUGUAAAUG